Portunus trituberculatus (swimming crab) is the source of this 370-nucleotide long non-coding RNA. RefSeq lists it as uncharacterized. NCBI's taxonomy places the organism in Eukaryota, Metazoa, Arthropoda, Malacostraca, Decapoda, Portunidae. The record is from RefSeq and is a predicted model, not a curated record. The transcript has 2 exons.
ACUCGCCACACUCUUCCCACAACACGAAGACGAACAACUCAAAUGGCACGUUUGUACUGCAUUCUGGUGGCGGUGCUGGUGGUGGUGUUGCAGCUGUACAUGGUGGCUGGCCAUCCGUGGGGCAAAGGCCACGGCAGCGGCGCUGUCAUCACGAAGCUGUACCACGUGGGCGAUACCUCCAGCUAUGAGCGUGAUGACAGCUACGAAAGACAUGGUUACGGCGGAGGCUUCAAGCACCACGUCGUGCACUGGUAAUGGCGCCCUGUGACCUCUUCUGGCAGUGAUCCCCCCCGGACGCGGACCAUGGACACCAACACUACCACGAUCGAAAUUAAUUGCUUCGCUUCAGAAUAAAGAAUAUGGCAAACAG